This is a long non-coding RNA of Lycium ferocissimum, 730 nucleotides long. RefSeq lists it as uncharacterized. The record is from RefSeq and is a predicted model, not a curated record. The transcript has 2 exons. Lineage: Eukaryota; Viridiplantae; Streptophyta; Magnoliopsida; Solanales; Solanaceae.
CGGGUUCUCUUCCAUUUCAGCUGGGUUCUUUAAUGCUUGAUUUUCAGCUCAAAUGAAGCAAUCAGUUUGCUUAUCAACACAUUCGCCGAAAAAAGCAAUAAACGAUGCAAUAAUUAACAACUACAAAAUUUCUCAUCUUAUCAAACAGAUUGAAGGAGGGAAUGAAGAGGAGGAGUAUUAACAAGGGAGAAGCAAUUUAAAGUAGAGACAACUCCAAGUGAAGUUGAAUACAAGCACCAUCCCACAACUUUGCACUCCAAAACAGAGAAUAAAGGCAAAGGCUCCAACAAAAAGAGGCAGGAGAAUAGUGAAAUCACAAUAGGAUAUAAUGACACAAGAGUUUUGUGCAACAAGUGCAAGCCAAACAAUAGAGAGAAAAGCCACUGUGGUUGCAUCACACCAAGAUUAUUAUAUUCAUCAUAAGUUGGGUCCUCUUCUGGUGGAGGAUUAAGAGAGGAACAAUGCAAAAUUCCAGUGGUUGAGCUUUCACAUAAGCUAAUUCCAGGAUUGAAGUUUUCUAUAGUUGAGCUUGAGAAAUGUAAACGAGCUUGAAAUUUACUGUCACAACUUGAAAUUCAAGUAUUGCAUCUUGACUCAGUUUAAGGAAUUUCAUUUGGUAUCAUUAUGUUUACGAAAUUCACAUGUAACGGUGACUUGUGAUCUGUAGUUUUCACAAGGGAAAAUAAAAAGAAGAAGAGCAAAAGCAGAUACAAGAUAUCUUACCUUUCAA